This 21-nucleotide microRNA is filed under the name Eptesicus fuscus (big brown bat). Its description in RNAcentral is "efu-miR-9346". Lineage: Eukaryota; Metazoa; Chordata; Mammalia; Chiroptera; Vespertilionidae. The record is from miRBase by way of RNAcentral.
UUGGCCUGUAGGAUGCUUUUG